AAAAAGAAAAGAAAAAAGAAAAACCCAGUCAACCUCUGCGUGUCUCCUUUACCUUCGAUACCAAGCAAUGGGCUGGCUCUGCUCGCCGAGAUCUGAGCAAAUUAAUCACGAGUUAGAGACGGAGAAAGGAAGUUUAAUUAGAUUAGCCUGCAAAUUGGAAGACAGGUGACUAAUGUCUCAAAAACUCGUCAUUACAGAUUAGAGAAUCUUGAGGCAGCUAUACAGGGAAAAUGGGAGUAAGGAGGGGGUUUCCUUCAGCCGUGACGGUCUCCAGGGUCUUUUAUGGUUCCAGUCUUCUGUCAACUGUGAUGGACCCCUUGUGGAGUCUAGCAGCCUUCUCCACUGCAAAGCACUAGUUUGCCCUUUAACCGGUAGGUAUUUUGUGGGAGAUAGUUUGAGACUAUGUAGAUAUCUUAUUCCCCAUCAGACUUUCAUUAGUUUCAGCAUCCAUUAAUGAUCUUGCUUGAAUCUAUAAAUACAGAUCUUCCUCGACUUAAAUGGAGUUACGUCCCAAUGAAGCCAUCGUAACUUGAAAAUAUCGUAAGCUGAAAUGCAUUUAACAUGUGCAAACCACCGAGCGCCACAGCUUAGCCCAGCCUGCCUUAAAUGUGCUCAGAACCCUUACGUUAGUCUGCAGUUGGGCAAAGUCACCUAACACAAAGUCUAUUUUAUGAUCGUGUGCUGAACGUCUCAUGUAAUUCACUGAUUACUGGACUGAAAGUGAGAAACAGAAUGGUCGUGUGGGUGCAGAAUGGUUGUCAGUGUAUGGGUUGUUUACCCUCGUGAUCGCGUGGCUGACGGGGAGCUGCGGGUGCUGCUGCCGCCCAGCAUCACGAGAGAGGAUCCGACGGCAGAUCGCUAGCCCUGGAAAAGAUCGAAACGCAAAAAGCGAAGCACGAUUUCUACUGAAUGCCACUUCUAAUGAAGUGGGACCACUGGAAGUCGGGGACCAGCUGUAUGACGUUCGUCAAACAGCGAUUUUCUAACUUCGUUCCAUUUACAAUUAUUUGGUAGUAUUCCACUAUGAGAAAAAGCAUUUCUUCCUC
This 1046-nucleotide long non-coding RNA is filed under the name Equus caballus (horse). RNAcentral describes it as "lncRNA (ENSECAG00000057512.1)". The record is from RNAcentral. Lineage: Eukaryota; Metazoa; Chordata; Mammalia; Perissodactyla; Equidae.